AUAUAUUCUUCUCUUGUGGCUCCUGUCUAUUAAAUUCUGGUUCUUUUUUUGUUUGACGUCUCCAUUGUGUUGAAUUAAGGAUUAUAAAUUCUUUGGGGCAAGAGCCAAUCAUUUUGCAUUUCUAGACUACUAAAACAGAAAUCAACAGAUUGUGCUCCAGGAAAGUUAUACAUACAAUGAAGUGAAAAAUGUGGUCAGAUAAGUACUGUUAAUAUCCAAGUAAUGCAUAUUAGGUUAUGCAGAAAAUGAGGUUACUAACAAGAAUUGAACUGAUAGUGAUUAACAGGAAUGAUAUAUUGGAGUGUUAUUGAACAAAUCAGUUCUGAGCAACAGUAAUGAAAAGGAUAAGUUUCAUGCACAUCUGAAAAAAAUUAUAAAAAGUCUCCCAGAUAAUUUGCCCAUGAAUAAGCAAGGAAUACCAAAUAAUGUACAGUACUGGUAAGAAAGUCCAACUCAGAAAGUAAAAAAAGGAAUGAUAAGGUAGAAGCCCUCAAGUCAAGCUCAAUGUUUAGUUACUUUAUACUUGCAUAACUUACAUGGCAACAAUGUGGAUGUCAUUUGUCAUUAUAUUCUUCCAGGAUGUUUUCUUAACUUCAGUAACCCUGGGAUUUUGUAGGGGUUGUCAUUCAGGUUCUAUCUACGUAGAUUCUGUUUAGCUUUUUGAGAUCCUUUAGCUGCUGUAAACAGUCUCAGAAUGUAAUGUAAUGGUCCUCUCAGGUUAUGUGAUUUCUCACAUACUACAGUACACUAUCAAAAUAAAUGCCAAUGAAAUAUUAACAAAAAAAGCAUCACCAUGAAGUGAGUUGGGUCAAAAGAGAGUGACUGGCCCAAGGUCACCCAGAUGGCUUUUAUGGCUAAGGCAGGAUUUCAACACACCAUCGCCUGGUGCCUUAACCACUACACCAAAAGGAAGCCAGCUCCUCAUUGAAUCAGUCCCAAAAAUCAACCUCCAGAUGACACCUGUCUUCUUUCAAAGGAUACAGCUUGUGCUGAGGGCCAUACACCAGAAAUGGAGAGACCAGACUCAAAUAAACAAAUAAGCAACAGUUUGUGCUUAAAAUCUCCUGAAACCAAGGGGAGGAGAGCUUAAGGGCCCAGUGACAAUAGCUCACAGAAAUGAGUUGUGUUCUGCUUUGAAGAACAUGGCUGGCUGCUAUCACCCAAUUAGCAGUUGCUGGCCAGUGACAUCUUGUCCAGUUUCUCUCUUCUACUGUGUUGGGGUGCUGGCUUGAAGCAAAAGAAACUCUAAAAGGGCAUCACACUGUCUGGUUUGGUGUACUCACAAAACUUUCCAGCAAGCUGAUAUCUGCUUUGGGAGCCACUUUGGUGAAGAACUGAGCAAUAAAUCUAAGGAAUAUAACAACAAAACAGUAACAUCUGUGUCUUCAUUCCUCACUUGGAAAACAGAUCCCACUGUUUGAAAAAAGGAAACAAAACUUGAUACUGUACACUUAUUCAAAUUUAAAAGAGAUGCAUGAACUCUGGGGCAUGUUUCAUGCCAAUCCAAUUAAUAUAAGUUUAUAUUUAUUAAUAUUUUUCUCAGAAAACUUCAGGUGAUUAGUCUUGCUACACCACUGUGGGCCAAGUUAGGAAGAGAGAUGAUUUGGGUCCUGUCCAUUAGUGCUUGGCAGUAUGACAUUACCAUGUACCCUGCAAUGUGGAUGGCAGCUGGUUUUAUAUGAAAGAAAAAAAGAGAGAGA
This is a non-coding RNA of Pseudonaja textilis, 1700 nucleotides long. The record is from RefSeq and is a predicted model, not a curated record. NCBI's taxonomy places the organism in Eukaryota, Metazoa, Chordata, Lepidosauria, Squamata, Elapidae.